CGGGUCGGUCAGACCAUCGCGGCUCGAGACUGAGGCCCACCGGAGACGGCGGAUAACUGCCUCGGGCCGAGGAAAGUCCGGGCUCCGCAGGGCAGGAUGGUGGGUAACGCCCACUCGGGGUGACCCGCAGGCCAGUGCCACAGAAAACAGACCGCCGGCGGCGCUCGUCGUCGCUGGUAAGGGUGAAACGGCGGUGUAAGAGACCACCAGCGCCCCAGGUGACUGGGGCGGCUAGGCAAACCCCAUCCGGUGCAAGGUCGAACAGGAUGUGUUUGAGGGCUGCCCGCCUGAGCAUCCGGGUUGACCGCUUGAGGUCCGUGGCAACACGAGGCCCAGAUGGAUGAUGGUCCGCCUCGGUGAGCAAUCACCGUGGCCGACAGAACCCGGCUUAUCGACCGACCCGUCCC
This is an RNase P RNA of 407 nucleotides. It matches the Rfam family "Bacterial RNase P class A". From Rfam's summary of the family: Ribonuclease P (RNase P) is a ubiquitous endoribonuclease, found in archaea, bacteria and eukarya as well as chloroplasts and mitochondria. Its best characterised activity is the generation of mature 5'-ends of tRNAs by cleaving the 5'-leader elements of precursor-tRNAs.